GCUUCUAAGCCAAGUCCAAAGUAGGAAUGUUGCAUUUUCAAACAAUUUGUUAGCAUUGGAAAACAGUAUUCUAUUUUUGAGUUGCCAAAUAGACCAUGUUAAAGCCAACCACCAAUACUGCCAUCUCUUCAUCCUUAUGCCUUCAGCCUGAAUAUGUGUAUGUUGAAGGAAAUGAUGUUUUGGAGUUAGCGGGAAAGCA
This 199-nucleotide microRNA precursor is filed under the name Glycine max (soybean). RNAcentral's name for it is "miR5779 stem-loop (gma-MIR5779)". The record is from miRBase by way of RNAcentral. Lineage: Eukaryota; Viridiplantae; Streptophyta; Magnoliopsida; Fabales; Fabaceae.